Molecule: ribosomal RNA, 349 nt
Filed under: Shigella sonnei
Lineage: Bacteria; Pseudomonadati; Pseudomonadota; Gammaproteobacteria; Enterobacterales; Enterobacteriaceae
Description: bacterial SSU rRNA
Rfam family: Bacterial small subunit ribosomal RNA
Source: RNAcentral
AAAUUGAAGAGUUUGAUCAUGGCUCAGAUUGAACGCUGGCGGCAGGCCUAACACAUGCAAGUCGAACGGUAACAGGAAGCAGCUUGCUGCUUCGCUGACGAGUGGCGGACGGGUGAGUAAUGUCUGGGAAACUGCCUGAUGGAGGGGGAUAACUACUGGAAACGGUAGCUAAUACCGCAUAAUGUCGCAAGACCAAAGAGGGGGCCCUUCGGGCCUCUUGCCAUCGGAUGUGCCCAGAUGGGAUUAGCUUGUUGGUGGGGUAACGGCUCACCAAGGCGACGAUCCCUAGCUGGUCUGAGAGGAUGACCAGCCACACUGGAACUGAGACACGGUCCAGACUCCUACGGGA